This is a long non-coding RNA of Centruroides sculpturatus (bark scorpion), 1983 nucleotides long. RefSeq lists it as uncharacterized. NCBI's taxonomy places the organism in Eukaryota, Metazoa, Arthropoda, Arachnida, Scorpiones, Buthidae. The record is from RefSeq and is a predicted model, not a curated record. The transcript is spliced from 3 exons.
GCGGCAUCAAAUAUAUAACAUUAUGGACCCAGCCGACUUCCAUCACGACAUUCGUUAUUCAAGAAGUGAAAACUCGCGGUACCCUCUCAGAUACCAAUCGCUGUUUGGCAUCUCUUUACUUCUAACUAUUAUUGCAUCCUUCUUUUUGUUAUCGAGAUUAUUCUCAGAUAGUCCAAUAUUUUUAUUAAUGGGCUUGAUUAUUCUUGGAUUCGCAGUUAUUAUAGUGCUGAUGGCGAUAAUAUGGUAUUGUUUAGAAAAACUGAAUCGUUACGUCUACAAGAGGCAACGAGUCCAGAGGAAUUUUGUUCGGUCUCUUCCACCGUAUUCGAAUCGUUUUCAACCCGCUCUACCCUCACCCAGUUUUAACAAUAUUCCAUCUGUGCCUAGACUCGUCGAUCGAUCGCAUUCCGACAUUAAUGACGAUCUACCACCUUCUUACGAUAGUAUUACGCGAAGCCAUAUGCCUGCAAUUGUACAUUACGGUAAAGCGGAACAAUCUGUCACAUUUCAUUCCCCCUCUAAUAUAUAAUCUACCAAUAGCACGGAAGUUGGUUCCACUUCUAGCACACCCUCAUAAAUCAUACAUCAGUUAAUAAAUUAACAUUUCUUUUAUUAACGAUCGAAUCGUCUUUCUUAAUACUGUAUAAAAUUCUAAAGCCCUUAGUUUUAGUGCCGCAGAGCGAAGAGUCGAGAAGAGCACCUAAACGCAUUACGUUUUUAAAUAUCAUCGUAAUUACUGUAUCGCCGCGAGUUAAGUUAUUCUUCUACCGGCGUAUCGAAUCUGGAUUCGAUUUCUGUUUAUAACUUUACAUGGGUAUUUCGAAUGAGAGAAUCACGCCGACUAUAGUCAAAACAGCGAAAGAGUAGACACCAAUCAGCCUGAGCUGGAAGGGUCUAUAUCAGCGGCGUACCCAGGGAUUGAACUAGAAGGGGGCAACUCCUAUUAGUUUGGAGGAAGUGGGGGGAAGUGAGAUUUCACCACAGAUGGCUCUAGUCUAGUCACAAUAUAUAUUGAUAUUAUUCAAACUGUGCUGCGUGUCAAUUACUACACUAACAAGUAAGUUUUCUUCUUCGCCGUUGGUCUACGUCAAACGAAAAAGAUGGAACGAGAUUGAAAUCGGGUUCUUCCCGAGCCCAACAGUGUUUUCUCACUUUAAACAACCUCAAAAAUCUCUAAAGAGAGAGAGAAUUCAAUAAUUUUAUAUUCAUAAAAUAACAAUUGAUUAUAGUUAGAAUAUAAAACCUUUUAACCUUUCUAUUUUAAGUAAUUAAAGAAUAAACCAGUCGACUAUUCGUCACGCAACAUCCGUAAAAGAGAAGUAACGAUGUAAGAAGGAAUAAUGAUAAUUAAAUCGUCGAAUCGAGUUACGGUCUACUGUUUCCUUUGUUUUCACCAUUAGCACCGAGCUUAUGGCGCCAAGGGAGCCAGAAACGUCGGCCAACUCCCGCUCCAGACUAAACGGAUGCGCCGUUUGUGGGCAUUUACGAGUCUAUGUAAACUGAACCGGAAGGAAGAUGCUAAAAUGGAGUGCGUCCAAUCCUCCCAAAUCUAUAACGAGAAAAAGGAAGCCAAUUAGGGAAAGAAAACUUUCCGAAGAAACAAAAAAACUAAUGGAAAGAUUAUUUAAUUGCCGAAAUAGUUCUUUUUUCAUCCGAUAUAAACAUUACCGUUUUCUUUUAUAAAAUGGCUAUUGAAAAUCUUGCGUGUUUUUGCCAGGAAUGUUGUAUAGUACGAAAAAAUAAUUAUUUUAACAUGUACUAGAGGGCGUUAUUUACAAAUUGCCACGAGGCGCGGUUCCUUUGACUUUUUUGUUCCUAUCGAUACGCUCUACAGCUCCGUCCAAGUCCCAAUCGCGUCAUACGGACCUAUUAAACAUUCUAUAAAACCUUAAAAUAGUUUGAUUUAUUUAUUUACCUUCGCUCGUAAACCUCGAUUUUAAAUGUAUCCGCCAUUUUUUCGACAAAUUUCCCGCCAGUCGAUGC